GUCGGGAAUUUUGGGCAAUGGGCGAAAGCCUGACCCAGCAACGCCGCGUGAAGGAUGAAGUAUUUCGGUAUGUAAACUUCGUAAGAAUAGGAAGAAUAAAUGACGGUACUAUUUGUAAGGUCCGGCUAACUACGUGCCAGCAGCCGCGGUAAUACGUAGGGACCAAGCGUUGUUCGGAUUUACUGGGCGUAAAGGGCGCGUAGGCGGAGUGGUAAGUCAGCUGUGAAAUCUCCGAGCUUAACUCGGAACGGUCAGCUGAUACUGCUGUGCUAGAGUACAGAAAGGGCAAUCGGAAUUCUUGGUGUAGCGGUGAAAUGCGUAGAUAUCAAGAGGAACACCUGAGGCGAAGGCGGGUUGCUAGGCUGAUACUGACGCUGAGGCGCGAAAGCUAGGGUAGCAAACGGGAUUAGAAACCCGGGUAGUCC
Molecule: ribosomal RNA, 425 nt
Filed under: uncultured bacterium
Lineage: Bacteria
Description: partial 16S ribosomal RNA
Rfam family: Bacterial small subunit ribosomal RNA
Source: RNAcentral